CGGAAACGAUGGAAGCUUGCUUCCAGGCGUCGAGCGGCGGACGGGUGAGUAAUGCAUAGGAAUCUGCCCGAUAGUGGGGGAUAACCUGGGGAAACUCAGGCUAAUACCGCAUACGUCCUACGGGAGAAAGCAGGGGAUCUUCGGACCUUGCGCUAUCGGAUGAGCCUAUGUCGGAUUAGCUAGUUGGUGAGGUAACGGCUCACCAAGGCGACGAUCCGUAGCUGGUCUGAGAGGAUGAUCAGCCACACUGGGACUGAGACACGGCCCAGACUCCUACGGGAGGCAGCAGUGGGGAAUAUUGGACAAUGGGGGAAACCCUGAUCCAGCCAUGCCGCGUGUGUGAAGAAGGCCUUCGGGUUGUAAAGCACUUUCAGCGAGGAAGAAGGCCUGAGGGCUAAUACCCUUCAGGAAGGACAUCACUCGCAGAAGAAGCACCGGCUAACUCCGUGCCAGCAGCCGCGGUAAUACGGAGGGUGCGAGCGUUAAUCGGAAUUACUGGGCGUAAAGCGCGCGUAGGUGGCUUGAUAAGCCGGUUGUGAAAGCCCCGGGCUCAACCUGGGAACGGCAUCCGGAACUGUCAGGCUAGAGUGCAGGAGAGGAAGGUAGAAUUCCCGGUGUAGCGGUGAAAUGCGUAGAGAUCGGGAGGAAUACCAGUGGCGAAGGCGGCCUUCUGGACUGACACUGACACUGAGGUGCGAAAGCGUGGGUAGCAAACAGGAUUAGAUACCCUGGUAGUCCACGCCGUAAACGAUGUCGACUAGCCGUUGGGUUCCUUGAGAACUUUGUGGCGCAGUUAACGCGAUAAGUCGACCGCCUGGGGAGUACGGCCGCAAGGUUAAAACUCAAAUGAAUUGACGGGGGCCCGCACAAGCGGUGGAGCAUGUGGUUUAAUUCGAUGCAACGCGAAGAACCUUACCUACCCUUGACAUCGUGCGAACUUUCCAGAGAUGGAUUGGUGCCUUCGGGAACGCACAGACAGGUGCUGCAUGGCUGUCGUCAGCUCGUGUUGUGAAAUGUUGGGUUAAGUCCCGUAACGAGCGCAACCCUUGUCCCUAUUUGCCAGCGAUUCGGUCGGGAACUCUAGGGAGACUGCCGGUGACAAACCGGAGGAAGGUGGGGACGACGUCAAGUCAUCAUGGCCCUUACGGGUAGGGCUACACACGUGCUACAAUGGUCGGUACAAAGGGUUGCGAUACCGCGAGGUGGAGCUAAUCCCAUAAAGCCGG
Molecule: ribosomal RNA, 1226 nt
Filed under: Bisbaumannia salifodinae
Lineage: Bacteria; Pseudomonadati; Pseudomonadota; Gammaproteobacteria; Oceanospirillales; Halomonadaceae
Description: bacterial SSU rRNA
Rfam family: Bacterial small subunit ribosomal RNA
Source: RNAcentral